AGGAGCAGACACACACCAAUGUGCGAAUGCAGCUGCAACACUCGCUGGAAGGAGAGGGGACAGUCCUCCCUCCCCAGGGGACAUUUGGCAAUGACUGGAGGAGUUGCUACUGGCAUCUCCUGGGUGGAGGCCAGGCAGGGCUGCUGCUGAACAUCCCUGUCUAGUGCACAGGACAGCCUCCACCACAAAGAAUCAUCCAGCCCCAAAUGUCAACAGCACCGAGGUUGAGAACUCUGUUCUAAGCCCUGAAAUUAUCAUUUGACAAGCGCAAUUAUAAUGCAAUGUCUUUUUGAUGCACCAAAGGCAUUAAUGUCUUCAAUGUGAAUAUUUAAAACACACAGGUGAC
RNAcentral lists this long non-coding RNA (346 nucleotides) under Homo sapiens (human). RNAcentral's name for it is "non-protein coding DNAJB8-AS1:5". The record is from RNAcentral. Lineage: Eukaryota; Metazoa; Chordata; Mammalia; Primates; Hominidae.